CCUACGGGAGGCUGCAGUGGGGAAUAUUGGGCAAUGGGCGCAAGCCUGACCCAGCAACGCCGCGUGAAGGAAGAAGGCUUUCGGGUUGUAAACUUCUUUUCUCAGGGACGAAGCAAGUGACGGUACCUGAGGAAUAAGCCACGGCUAACUACGUGCCAGCAGCCGCGGUAAUACGUAGGGGGCAAGCGUUAUCCGGAUUUACUGGGUGUAAGGGGCGUGUAGGCGGGAAAGCAAGUCAGAUGUGAAAACCAUGGGCUCAACCUGUGGCCUGCAUUUGAAACUGUUUUUCUUGAGUACUGGAGAGGCAGGCGGAAUUCCUAGUGUAGCGGUGAAAUGCGUAGAUAUUAGGAGGAACACCAGUGGCGAAGGCGGUCUGCUGGACAGCAACUGACGCUGAGGCGCGAAAGCGUGGGGAGCAAACAGGAUUAGAUACCCGGGUAGUC
RNAcentral lists this ribosomal RNA (443 nucleotides) under uncultured bacterium. RNAcentral describes it as "partial 16S ribosomal RNA". It matches the Rfam family "Bacterial small subunit ribosomal RNA", at positions 338 to 795 of the family's 1533-position model. The record is from RNAcentral.